RNAcentral lists this long non-coding RNA (1485 nucleotides) under Theobroma cacao (cacao). RNAcentral's name for it is "long non-coding RNA (TCAC_LNC004858)". The record is from RNAcentral. Lineage: Eukaryota; Viridiplantae; Streptophyta; Magnoliopsida; Malvales; Malvaceae.
UCAUUCUUCAUGGUCGGCUAAGACAAGAACAAAGAGAAAAAAGAAGAGAACAAACCCUAGUGAGCAAAAAUUCAAGGGAAAAUUGGUGGAUUUCAAGGAAUUAAGCAAGUAAAGGUAAAAUUUCUUGAUUUUAGCUUGUGAUCUACCUUUCCUAUGCAUUCUUUUUCAUUUUCCAUGGUUGAGAAUCAAGUUUGCAUGAAGAUACCUUUGCUGGCCAGACAUGGGGGGAGGGGUUUUGAUCUUGCAUUUAGCUAGAUUUCAUGUUAUUCUAGUGUUUUUAGUUGUUUGGUGAUGUUUAGCAUGGAAAACAAGCAAGAAAUUUCAUGCCCUUCACCCACACCCAUUAGCUGAAUUUUUCAAGAGAGAAAUUGGAAAAUGGACUUUGAUGACUUUCGUGCUAUUUAGGUAUUUUUAGUUGUUUUAUGAUGUAAAGUGUAAAAAUCAAGCAUGAAAAACCACAUAUUAUUCAUGAACCCUCCAUGGCCAAAUUUUUCCAAGAGAAAAUGUUGAGGAUGAUUUUGCUAUAAUUCAUGUUAUGUAGCUUAUAUUUGAUGAUUUGGAGUAUUGGAAGUGAAAUGAAUUUAUUUGGAGUUGAAUUGGAUAUUUUGGCCAAUUAACCGGCGUAUAGUGUGAAUUAGGUCAAUACCAUUUCAGCCCCAUACACAAUUGAACCUACGUAGAACACCGUAUUUAGAUAAUAAUCCGAACAUUUCACAUCCCAUUUCAUGCAUUCAUAUAGAGCCUAAAUUAGUUUUAUAACGGUUUAGCACAAAUAUAGUAAAUUGCUUGUUGUGCAUUAUGUCUAGGUGGUGAAACUUUCGAUAAGGGUAAGGAGAUUGUACCCGAAGACCAGGAUUAAAAGUACCUCGAUUCUCGAUAUUGUGAGUAUCCUUAUUAUCGUCUUAAUUAUCUAAAUUAGGUUUUAUUCGUUUUUGUGAUUUUAUAGAAAAAUGAGUUUAAAUGGUAAAUCCUUAUGUUUUAUAAGUAAAAUGUGAUUAAAUGAAAUGAGUUUUAUAAAUCAUUUUGAAAUUGAAUGAUGAUUUUAGAAAUUGAGUAAUUGGAGACUAUUUGAUUUUGUUGUAAAUUUAUGGUUUGAAUUGAAUGGCUUAUGGUAAUAUUGGCAUGAAUGGUUGCAUUGGAAAUUGUGUUGAAAUUUUAUGAACUGUUGUUUUACCUUAACAGGCUGGGUAGUAAUAUAAUUGCCAUGUCAUGCUGUCAAAAAUUUUAUUGAUUUGGUGGGAUAUUGAUUAGUCACUGCAGUGGCAGGUUUUCGUGGACUAGCCUAUUAGAGAGGGGCACGGUAAACUCGGUUAUAUUUUUCCUCAACAUGAGAGGUGCGGAGGGUAUCUCCUGAGGUAAAGCUUUAGAGUUCACUACACGCUAAACCACCACGCGAGGGUGAACUCAGCCAAUGCCAAGGAAUGGCUAUGUUUUAAAACGUACAAAUAUGAUUUAUUGAUAUAUGUCUUUUCUUUAACAGCCUUG